UACGUAGGUGGCAAGCGUUGUUCGGAAUUAUUGGGCGUAAAGGGCGCGUAGGCGGUCUUGUAAGUCAGCUGUGAAAGCCCGGGGCUCAACCCCGGAGGGUCGGCUGAUACUGCAGGACUAGAGUACGGAAGAGGUAGCUGGAAUUCCCGGUGUAGCGGUGAAAUGCGCAGAUAUCAGGAAGAACACCCGUGGCGAAGGCGGCUCUCUGGGACGGUACUGACGCUGAGACGCGAAAGCGUGGGGAGCGAACAGG
This 253-nucleotide ribosomal RNA is filed under the name uncultured bacterium. RNAcentral describes it as "partial 16S ribosomal RNA". It matches the Rfam family "Bacterial small subunit ribosomal RNA", at positions 524 to 776 of the family's 1533-position model. The record is from RNAcentral.